UAGGGAAUCUUGCGCAAUGGGGGAAACCCUGACGCAGCGACGCCGCGUGCGGGAUGAAGGCCUUCGGGUCGUAAACCGCUUUCAGCAGGGACGAAAUUGACGGUACCUGCAGAAGAAGGCCCGGCCAACUACGUGCCAGCAGCCGCGGUGAUACGUAGGGGUCUAGCGUUGUCCGGAAUUAUUGGGCGUAAAGAGCUCGUAGGCGGUUCGGCAAGUCGGAUGUGAAAUCUCCACGCUUAACGUGGAGGGGCCAUUCGAAACUGCCGUGACUCGAGUCCGGUAGGGGAGUUCGGAAUUCCCGGUGUAGCGGUGAAAUGCGCAGAUAUCGGGAGGAACACCAGUGGCGAAGGCGGAACUCUGGGCCGGAACUGACGCUGAGGAGCGAAAGCGUGGGGAGCGAACAGGAUUAGAUACCCCCGUAGUCC
RNAcentral lists this ribosomal RNA (425 nucleotides) under uncultured bacterium. RNAcentral's name for it is "bacterial SSU rRNA". It matches the Rfam family "Bacterial small subunit ribosomal RNA", at positions 355 to 796 of the family's 1533-position model. The record is from RNAcentral.